Molecule: microRNA, 22 nt
Filed under: Sus scrofa (pig)
Lineage: Eukaryota; Metazoa; Chordata; Mammalia; Artiodactyla; Suidae
Description: ssc-mir315
Source: RNAcentral
UGCAGGUGGAGCCCAGGGGAAC